ACUCCUACGGGAGGCAGCAGUGAGGAAUAUUGGACAAUGGGCGGGAGCCUGAUCCAGCCAUGCCGCGUGCAGGAAGACGGUCCUAUGGAUUGUAAACUGCUUUUGUACGGGAAGAACAAGGGGCACGUGUGCCCCUCUGACGGUACCGUAAGAAUAAGGAUCGGCUAACUCCGUGCCAGCAGCCGCGGUAAUACGGAGGAUCCGAGCGUUAUCCGGAAUCAUUGGGUUUAAAGGUCCGUAGGGCGGGCCGUUAAGUCAGGGGUGAAAGUCUGCGGCUCAACCGGUAGGACUGCCCUUGAUACUGGCGGCCUUGAGUUAUGGUGAAGNGGCUAGAAUAUGUGGUGUAGCGGUGAAAUGCAUAGAUAUCACAUGGGAAUACCGAUUGCGAAGGCAGGCCACUAACCAUAUACUGACGCUGAUGGAC
This 424-nucleotide ribosomal RNA is filed under the name uncultured bacterium. RNAcentral describes it as "bacterial SSU rRNA". It matches the Rfam family "Bacterial small subunit ribosomal RNA", at positions 335 to 754 of the family's 1533-position model. The record is from RNAcentral.